CGACUGUUCGCGACUUUUGGGUUGGGACUUUGGGGAGAUGUGUCAUAACGAUGAGACAUGAUAAGUGGCUAGUUAUUUUAUUAGGUGCAUGUUUUUCUAUACAGUAUUUUCUAUGAUAUUUUUGUAUACAAGUUUUUUAGGUUAUAUUUUAUUUUUACAAUUAAAGGUGGAGGAAUGAUGUGUUUAUGGUCAUCCUCUAUGUAGUCUAUGGUCACCUCUUUUCACAUUACUAAUAAAAUGGCGGCAAACAAGCAAAUA
Non-coding RNA from Plutella xylostella (diamondback moth), 258 nucleotides. NCBI's taxonomy places the organism in Eukaryota, Metazoa, Arthropoda, Insecta, Lepidoptera, Plutellidae. The record is from RefSeq and is a predicted model, not a curated record.